This is a long non-coding RNA of Arabidopsis lyrata subsp. lyrata, 410 nucleotides long. RefSeq lists it as uncharacterized. The record is from RefSeq and is a predicted model, not a curated record. Lineage: Eukaryota; Viridiplantae; Streptophyta; Magnoliopsida; Brassicales; Brassicaceae. The transcript has 2 exons.
AGGUUGUUAACACACAAUUGGAUCAUGAGUGAAUCUUGAUGAACAGGAGUCAGCAAACAGUGAUUCACCACCAGGUAUUGACGCCAAGCGUGCAAAACCUUGACUUGAACCCUCCAUGAUGCCUUGUAUGGGCGGACGUCUUUGAGGAAAGCGAAGGUAGUAGCCAUUUGGAAGAGAGGAAAGGUAUGCUAAGUAUUGUUAUAUGAUUGUAAGCUCUCGGUUUUGGUGAUGGAAAAACAGGUGUAGGUGUAAAGUAUUUAUAGGAAAGUAAAUUAGGUUUCGUGUAUUCAUAGGUUACUCUCCAAAAAUAAAAACGAUGCAUAUUUUGUGGGAUACAAUCUUUGAUAUUAUUGUUUUUUUGGGAUAUGUUAGGAUCAAUUUUUUAUUUGGUAAUUAAUAUGGUUUAUAUA